AAAUUGAAGAGUUUGAUCAUGGCUCAGAUUGAACGCUGGCGGCAGGCCUAACACAUGCAAGUCGAACGGUAACAGGAAGCAGCUUGCUGCUUCGCUGACGAGUGGCGGACGGGUGAGUAAUGUCUGGGAAACUGCCUGAUGGAGGGGGAUAACUACUGGAAACGGUGGCUAAUACCGCAUAACGUCGCAAGACCAAAGAGGGGGACCUUCGGGCCUCUUGCCAUCAGAUGUGCCCAGAUGGGAUUAGCUUGUUGGUGAGGUAACGGCUCACCAAGGCGACGAUCCCUAGCUGGUCUGAGAGGAUGACCAGCCACACUGGAACUGAGACACGGUCCAGACUCCUACGGGAGGCAGCAGUGGGGAAUAUUGCACAAUGGGCGCAAGCCUGAUGCAGCCAUGCCGCGUGUAUGAAGAAGGCCUUCGGGUUGUAAAGUACUUUCAGCGGGGAGGAAGGUGUUGUGGUUAAUAACCGCAGCAAUUGACGUUACCCGCAGAAGAAGCACCGGCUAACUCCGUGCCAGCAGCCGCGGUAAUACGGAGGGUGCAAGCGUUAAUCGGAAUUACUGGGCGUAAAGCGCACGCAGGCGGUCUGUCAAGUCGGAUGUGAAAUCCCCGGGCUCAACCUGGGAACUGCAUUCGAAACUGGCAGGCUUGAGUCUUGUAGAGGGGGGUAGAAUUCCAGGUGUAGCGGUGAAAUGCGUAGAGAUCUGGAGGAAUACCGGUGGCGAAGGCGGCCCCCUGGACAAAGACUGACGCUCAGGUGCGAAAGCGUGGGGAGCAAACAGGAUUAGAUACCCUGGUAGUCCACGCCGUAAACGAUGUCUACUUGGAGGUUGUGCCCUUGAGGCGUGGCUUCCGGAGCUAACGCGUUAAGUAGACCGCCUGGGGAGUACGGCCGCAAGGUUAAAACUCAAAUGAAUUGACGGGGGCCCGCACAAGCGGUGGAGCAUGUGGUUUAAUUCGAUGCAACGCGAAGAACCUUACCUGGUCUUGACAUCCACAGAAGAAUCCAGAGAUGGAUUUGUGCCUUCGGGAACUGUGAGACAGGUGCUGCAUGGCUGUCGUCAGCUCGUGUUGUGAAAUGUUGGGUUAAGUCCCGCAACGAGCGCAACCCUUAUCCUUUGUUGCCAGCGAUUAGGUCGGGAACUCAAAGGAGA
This 1157-nucleotide ribosomal RNA is filed under the name Salmonella enterica subsp. enterica serovar Typhimurium. RNAcentral describes it as "bacterial SSU rRNA". It matches the Rfam family "Bacterial small subunit ribosomal RNA", at positions 1 to 1148 of the family's 1533-position model. The record is from RNAcentral. Lineage: Bacteria; Pseudomonadati; Pseudomonadota; Gammaproteobacteria; Enterobacterales; Enterobacteriaceae.